Mercurialis annua (annual mercury) is the source of this 1086-nucleotide long non-coding RNA. RefSeq lists it as uncharacterized. The transcript is spliced from 5 exons. The record is from RefSeq and is a predicted model, not a curated record. Lineage: Eukaryota; Viridiplantae; Streptophyta; Magnoliopsida; Malpighiales; Euphorbiaceae.
UCUCCUUAUUCAUCUCUCUGAUUACAAUUUCUUUCUUUCUUUCUUUCGUUCUUUCUUUGCCCUUUUUUAUUGAUUAUUUGUGGGUUAUGGGUUUGAUGGGUUCUCAAAUUAUGUAAAGUAUAAUUUUCUUGAUUUUCUUUUAACCCAGUCUUUGAUUUUCUUGAAUCUAAAGUUCUUGAGUUCCUUUUCUUCUUGAUUUCUGUUUGUUUACCAUGAAAAUUAAAACCCACCAAUUUAACCGUGUAUUGUUUAUCGAAUUACUUUUUGUGUUAAAGAAAUUGAAAUGAUUCAAUUUAACUGAUGAAAAUAUGUUAAAACAGGGGACGCCAUUUGAGGGGAAAACAAGCCGUUCGAGAAGGAGGAGGCCCUAAACUGUAGCAGCAGAGAACAAGGUUUUACGAGCGGAAUGAAGUCGAGGAAGAUGAAGUGCACAAAUUAGGAAUAAAAAGGAGUCAUAUAAAGGACUCAGUUAGGGGACGUUGGACAGCAGUUAGCAGUGACAAUUAUUUGCUUGCUGUUGGUGGAGAGGAUUCUUAUCUCAGCUGAGGUUUCAUGCCCUGUCACUUGCCGUUCUCCUAUAUAGUUUAUUUUCUGUUGAAUCACUUUUAUGUUAUGUAAAACAGAAAUAUAUCAGCAGAAGAAGAAUGCCCAAAACGCAGCAGCCGAGAACGACAAGGGAUUGGAGAAUUUUAAAAAGACUAAAGAGCCCUUAUAACGGAGAAGCAUACAACGAACUUCAUGGACAGAACGAAAUCCGGGACGAAAGUUUAUGACAUGCGAGAUGGGAGAUUGCAGCUAUUUUAGAUGGAACGAUGACGACAUGUGCGAAAGAGCUAAUCGAAUUAUACCUGGGUUAUUAAGAAAGAUUGGAAGUUUAGAAGCUGAACUUGCAAGAAGCUGGAAAAGAGAGAAAUUCUUAUGGGCGUGGGCAAUAUUUUCAAUUGUAAUUCUCAUCUUUAAGUGAAUUGAUUGUUGUAAUUUGAUGUAAAAUCUGUAUUGUUUGGUAGUUUUUGAGAUUUGUAAAAUGGAAAGCACUUUGUAGAUUUUUGGGUUAAUGAAAUGAAUGUCUUUACUGCUUUUAAUGAA